Molecule: ribosomal RNA, 1340 nt
Filed under: Limosilactobacillus fermentum
Lineage: Bacteria; Bacillati; Bacillota; Bacilli; Lactobacillales; Lactobacillaceae
Description: bacterial SSU rRNA
Rfam family: Bacterial small subunit ribosomal RNA
Source: RNAcentral
UGAGUAACACGUAGGUAACCUGCCCAGAAGCGGGGGACAACAUUUGGAAACAGAUGCUAAUACCGCAUAACAGCGUUGUUCGCAUGAACAACGCUUAAAAGAUGGCUUCUCGCUAUCACUUCUGGAUGGACCUGCGGUGCAUUAGCUUGUUGGUGGGGUAACGGCCUACCAAGGCGAUGAUGCAUAGCCGAGUUGAGAGACUGAUCGGCCACAAUGGGACUGAGACACGGCCCAUACUCCUACGGGAGGCAGCAGUAGGGAAUCUUCCACAAUGGGCGCAAGCCUGAUGGAGCAACACCGCGUGAGUGAAGAAGGGUUUCGGCUCGUAAAGCUCUGUUGUUAAAGAAGAACACGUAUGAGAGUAACUGUUCAUACGUUGACGGUAUUUAACCAGAAAGUCACGGCUAACUACGUGCCAGCAGCCGCGGUAAUACGUAGGUGGCAAGCGUUAUCCGGAUUUAUUGGGCGUAAAGAGAGUGCAGGCGGUUUUCUAAGUCUGAUGUGAAAGCCUUCGGCUUAACCGGAGAAGUGCAUCGGAAACUGGAUAACUUGAGUGCAGAAGAGGGUAGUGGAACUCCAUGUGUAGCGGUGGAAUGCGUAGAUAUAUGGAAAGAACACCAGUGGCGAAGGCGGCUACCUGGUCUGCAACUGACGCUGAGACUCGAAAGCAUGGGUAGCGAACAGGAUUAGAUACCCUGGUAGUCCAUGCCGUAAACGAUGAGUGCUAGGUGUUGGAGGGUUUCCGCCCUUCAGUGCCGGAGCUAACGCAUUAAGCACUCCGCCUGGGGAGUACGACCGCAAGGUUGAAACUCAAAGGAAUUGACGGGGGCCCGCACAAGCGGUGGAGCAUGUGGUUUAAUUCGAAGCUACGCGAAGAACCUUACCAGGUCUUGACAUCUUGCGCCAACCCUAGAGAUAGGGCGUUUCCUUCGGGAACGCAAUGACAGGUGGUGCAUGGUCGUCGUCAGCUCGUGUCGUGAGAUGUUGGGUUAAGUCCCGCAACGAGCGCAACCCUUGUUACUAGUUGCCAGCAUUAAGUUGGGCACUCUAGUGAGACUGCCGGUGACAAACCGGAGGAAGGUGGGGACGACGUCAGAUCAUCAUGCCCCUUAUGACCUGGGCUACACACGUGCUACAAUGGACGGUACAACGAGUCGCGAACUCGCGAGGGCAAGCAAAUCUCUUAAAACCGUUCUCAGUUCGGACUGCAGGCUGCAACUCGCCUGCACGAAGUCGGAAUCGCUAGUAAUCGCGGAUCAGCAUGCCGCGGUGAAUACGUUCCCGGGCCUUGUACACACCGCCCGUCACACCAUGAGAGUUUGUAACACCCAAAGUCGGUG